RNAcentral lists this ribosomal RNA (500 nucleotides) under uncultured bacterium. RNAcentral's name for it is "bacterial SSU rRNA". It matches the Rfam family "Bacterial small subunit ribosomal RNA", at positions 30 to 514 of the family's 1533-position model. The record is from RNAcentral.
UGAACGCUGGCGGAAUGCUUUACACAUGCAAGUCGAACGGCAGCACGGACUUCGGUCUGGAGUGGCGUCGGAGGGAACGGGGUCGGAAGUUAAACGUGUAUCGGAACGUGCCCAGUCGUGGGGGAUAACGUAGUGAAAAAUUACGCUAAUACCGCAUACGAUCUAUGGAUGAAAGCGGGGGAUCGCAAGACCUCGCGCGAUUGGAGCGGCCGAUAUCAGAUUAGGUAGUUGGGGGGGUAAAGGCCCACCAAGCCAACGAUCUGUAGCUGGUCUGAGAGGACGACCAGCCACACUGGAACUGAGACACGGUCCAGACUCCUACGGGAGGCAGCAGUGGGGAAUUUUGGACAAUGGGCGAAAGCCUGAUCCAGCCAUUCCGCGUGCAGGAUGAAGGCCCUCGGGUUGUAAACUGCUUUUGACAGAACGAAAAGGUUUCUACUAAUACUAGGAGCUCAUGACGGUACUGUAAGAAUAAGCACCGGCUAACUACGCGCCAGCAG